Parus major (Great Tit) is the source of this 1661-nucleotide long non-coding RNA. The record is from Ensembl. Lineage: Eukaryota; Metazoa; Chordata; Aves; Passeriformes; Paridae.
UAUAAUAUAAUAAUAUAAUAUAAUAUAAUAUAUAAUAUAAUAUAAUAAUAUAUUAUAUAACGUUAAUAUAUUAUAUGACAUUAAUAUAAUGUUAAUAUUAGUGUUAAUAUUAAUAUCAUAUAUUAAUGUUAAUAAUAUUCAUAUAUAGAAUAAAAUAUAAUAGAAUAAUAAAAUAAUAAGUGCUCUGGUUUCCAGCCAUAUAAACGGUGGCCAAGAAACCCCUCUUGUUGUCCCAUGGAUCAGGGAAUCCCCUUGCAGCUGGAGUUGUGCAGGAAAAGGGGAUUUGCCAGCCCUAGACCCACCACGGUGGUUUGGUGGUGAAGAGAACCGUGGUGACUCCCAGCUUCAGGAGUGCCAGGGAAAACUCAGGCACAUCCAAGUUUUCCAAUCCCUGCAUUUUCCCUUCAAUCAAGACCCAUAUUUUCACCUCGGGGUGGAGGGGGUGUGUCUCAAUUUUGAUUAUUCUCUGCUCAUUCCUUCAGAACGAGGAAGACAGAAAAUCUUGGAAGCAAAGAGGAAGGAAAAAAACCCCAGCCAAACCCCUGUAAUCAGCAGGAAAUUCAGGAGAGUUUCAGUUCUCAGAGAGCAGCAAAGAGGCAUCACCCUUAUUUUGUGGGGGAAUUUUGAGCUUGUCUUCUUGCAGCUCUGCUCUCAGGGCUGAGAAACCCUGGAUAACAUCAGAUAAUGCUCCCAGGGCCGCUUGCCAGGAAAACAGCGAUCCCAAAAGGUAACUCCGACCCGAUUAUUGGGUAUUCAUCUCCCCAAAGGCACAAUGUGAGCUCCGGCAGAUAACAUCGGGGUGAGGCACCGCAGAGGCUCCGUGCCUCGUUCACACCCUGCUGCACAGCUGAGCCCCGCCGUUUCCAUCCUUAACAGCCGGGAAAAAACUUAAACUGGACAAAACCCCCGUGCUCUGAGGAGUGAGAGGAGGGAGAGCUUGUAAAAUCACACAGCGACGUGCUCUGAGGGAAAAGAGUCGGAGGCAAAGCUGCUCAAAAAAAAAAAAAAAAUAGUAAUUUUAGAUGUCCUUUUCCCCUCAGCAAAAAGCUGAGCUGACACUUCCCAAUCGCAGGGGGAAUGGCAGCUGGGUUAUUCCCACCUCCUCCCAGUGCUCAGUGCUCCUGUCAGACUGGACAUCUCCUCUGAGAUGGCUUUCGGUGCAGAACAAACGAGUGACACAAACGGUGAUUUGGGGCAGGCUGCUGUGGGAUGCCCACGCAGAGUCCGGGGAGGAAUCUCGGCUGAGAUCUGCUCCGUGCUGACAGAAAGCUGAAGUUGGCCUGACCUCCUUUUCUGCAAGGAAAGAGCAAGAGGGGCACAAAUCAAACUGCUUUCCCCCCCCUCUCCCUCCUCUCUGACCCAGCCCAAAAUUAUUUGUCUCCAUUGCGAAUUCCUCAUCCAGCUCAGGCACGCUGGAAUGUUUUUCUCCACCCAGUUUUUUAGGGAAUGGGGGUCCAAUAACUCAGCCGUUCCCUGACCUCAUUACCCCGAGGGAAGGGAUAACCUUUGUUGGGAGCAGCUCCGUCCAGCCACGUGGGGACAGCUUUGCUACACCCCGGCUUGCUCCUGGGCGCCAGCGAGGCCCUCCGGGAAGGCACAGGGGGAAAACUUGGAACAUCUGGAGGAAUUUUCAGGAUGUGGCUGAUGCGGUAAGAGCAGAC